Molecule: microRNA precursor, 97 nt
Filed under: Paramuricea clavata
Lineage: Eukaryota; Metazoa; Cnidaria; Anthozoa; Malacalcyonacea; Plexauridae
Source: RNAcentral
AAUAAAUGCCACACGAUCAAUUCAUUGUAAUACAAUGUAUUUAAAUUAAAUACAUUGUAUUACAAUGAAUUGAUCGUGUGGCAUUUAUAAUUUAAUU